GCUAACUCCGUGCCAGCAGCCGCGGUAAUACGGAGGGUGCGAGCGUUAAUCGGAAUUACUGGGCGUAAAGCGCACGCAGGCGGUUUGUUAAGCUAGAUGUGAAAGCCCCGGGCUCAACCUGGGAAUUGCAUUUAGAACUGGCAGACUAGAGUCUUGGAGAGGGGAGUGGAAUUUCUGGUGUAGCGGUGAAAUGCGUAGAUAUCAGAAGGAACAUCAGUGGCGAAGGCGACUCCCUGGCCAAAGACUGACGCUCAUGUGCGAAAGUGUGGGUAGCGAACAGGAUUAGAUACCCUGGUAGUCCAUGCCGUAAACGGUGGGCGCUAGGUGUG
Molecule: ribosomal RNA, 329 nt
Filed under: Pseudopedinella elastica
Lineage: Eukaryota; Dictyochophyceae; Pedinellales
Description: partial Bacterial small subunit ribosomal RNA
Rfam family: Bacterial small subunit ribosomal RNA
Source: RNAcentral